This 913-nucleotide ribosomal RNA is filed under the name uncultured marine archaeon. Its description in RNAcentral is "bacterial SSU rRNA". It matches the Rfam family "Archaeal small subunit ribosomal RNA", at positions 1 to 921 of the family's 1478-position model. The record is from RNAcentral.
UUCCGGUUGAUCCCGCCGGACCUGACUGCUAUCGGAUUGAUACUAAGCCAUGCGAGUCUUUGUAGUAAUACAAGGCAUACGGCUCAGUAACGCGUAGUCAACCUACCCUAUGGACAAGAAUAAUCUCGGGAAACUGAGCAUAAUUCUUGAUAGAUCAUAAUGCCUGGAAUGGUUUAUGGUUAAAAUGAUUCGUCGCCAUAGGAUGGGACUGCGGCCUAUCAGCUUGUUGGUGAGGUAAUGGCCCACCAAGGCGAUAACAGGUACGGGCUCUGAGAGGAGAAGCCCGGAGAUGGGUACUGAGACAAGGACCCAGGCCCUAUGGGGCGCAGCAGGCGAGAAAACUUUGCAAUGUGCGAAAGCACGACAAGGUUAGUCCGAGUGAUUUCUGCUAAAGAGAUCUUUUGCUAGUUAUAAAACCACUAGUGAAUAAGGGGUGGGCAAGUUCUGGUGUCAGCCGCCGCGGUAAAACCAGCACCUCAAGUGGUCAGGAUGAUUAUUGGGCCUAAAGCAUCCGUAGCCGGCUCUGUAAGUUUUCGGUUAAAUCUAUGCGCUCAACGUAUGGGCUGCCGAAAAUACUGCAGAGAUAGGGAGUGGGAGAGGUAGACGGUACUCGGUAGGAAGGGGUAAAAUCCUUUGAUCUAUCGAUGACCACCUGUGGCGAAGGCGGUCUACCAGAACACGUUCGACGGUGAGGGAUGAAAGCUGGGGGAGCAAACCGGAUUAGAUACCCGGGUAGUCCCAGCCGUAAACGAUGCAGACUCGAUGAUGCAUUGGCAUAUAGCCAGUGCAGUGUCGCAGGGAAGCCGUUAAGUCUGCCGCCUGGGAAGUACGUACGCAAGUAUGAAACUUAAAGGAAUUGGCGGGGGAGCACCACAAGGGGUGAAGCCUGCGGUUCAAUUGGAUUCAACGCCGG